CAGGGAGACAAAAACUGAUCUUGGUGUCUAAGCUAUAAAAUUCUUAGGCCAAGAUCCUGUCACCUUAGGUCGAUCGGUACCUCAAUUAAUUAUCCUAAAUAAUCCUUUUUAGGCUUUUAUUUAGUCACGUUAAUCUCAGUUCCUAAACUUUGUCUAGGUCACACCCAGCAAGGGUUACUCCUGGGCCAUUAGCUCAGGUGGUUAGAGCGCACCCCUGAUAAGGGUGAGGUCCCUGGUUCAAGUCCAGGAUGGCCCAUUCGGUGUUGGGGGUAUAGCUCAGUUGGUAGAGCGCCUGCUUUGCAAGCAGGAUGUCAGCGGUUCGAGUCCGCUUACCUCCACUGAUCGACCUCCUGACAGCGUAGUCAAGGAGAAUUUGCUUUAGGUGUGAUUUAGAAUUAGUUUUAUCUGGUUAAGAACCUAGCUUCCUAUCAUUCCACGUUUAAUUAAGCAAAUGUGGCUGAUAAGACGCUGGGCUCACUGCAAUUCUUCGGGAUUGUAGAUUGCUCAGUAGAACCUUGACAACUGCAUAGGUGAGUCUGGAAAGAAUAAAGCAUCUCAUGGAGGCUUGAUCUUUUUAGAUUUAGAUCAUGAAAAUAAUACGAAAGUAUUUUUCUAUGAUUUAAGUUUAGAUAGUUUUAGUCUUUAAAUUCUUGAGUAAGAGCCGAGACUUUACAUGCCUAAUUAGUUACUUUAAGUGACUUAAUUUGCCGGUAAAGUAUAAAU
This 723-nucleotide transfer RNA is filed under the name uncultured cyanobacterium. RNAcentral's name for it is "partial miscellaneous RNA". The stretch from base 266 to 338 matches the Rfam family "tRNA". Lineage: Bacteria; Bacillati; Cyanobacteriota. The record is from RNAcentral.